Molecule: ribosomal RNA, 253 nt
Filed under: uncultured bacterium
Lineage: Bacteria
Description: partial 16S ribosomal RNA
Rfam family: Bacterial small subunit ribosomal RNA
Source: RNAcentral
GACGAACCGAGCGAACGUUGUUCGGAAUAACUGGGCUUAAAGGGUGCGUAGGCGGGCUGUCAAGUCUGGGUUUAAAUCCCGCGGCUCAACCGUGGAACUGCCUCAGAUACUGAUGGCCUAGUGGGAGGUAGGGGCAUGCGGAACUGUAGGUGGAGCCGUGAAAUGCGUUGAUAUCUACAGGAACUCCGGUGGCGAAAGCGGCGUGCUGGACCUCUUCUGACGCUGAGGCACCAAAGCUAGGGGAGCAAGCGGG